RNAcentral lists this long non-coding RNA (243 nucleotides) under Vulpes vulpes (red fox). RNAcentral's name for it is "lncRNA (ENSVVUG00000013979.1)". The record is from RNAcentral. Lineage: Eukaryota; Metazoa; Chordata; Mammalia; Carnivora; Canidae.
UUUCUAUCCUUUUUCCAGGUGCCUGAGAAACAUGCUUGAGAAUUGAUGUUGGGCCCUAAGCAUUACAUUUUCUUCUGAGUACUAGUUUAGAUACAGUCUACUGCGGGAGAGCAGAACCUGAGCUGAAAUCUAUAUAACUUCUGUUGCAGUAUAAUGAAUCCAUCAAUAAUAAAAGAAGAAUUCAAAAGGUGUGAUGGAGAAGACUGAAAGAUUUAUUUUGGAAGUGACCAUACAGAAAUAAAC